UUUCUCCUGCGGUGUACGUGUAAGCGCAAAUGCGUCUACCCGUGUAAAAACCCACAUUUACGAAAGGGAGUCUGAAGAAUCUUUGUACGUGGUGAAGCAGGCCUCCCGCCUUUUCGGCUGUACUCGUUACCCCGAAAAGGCGGACGUUGGAAGCACUGAAGCGUACAAUAGGACACCCACCUGCUCAUAGCAGGGUUUCGUUCACGGGACACGGCACCCGCGGGGGCUUG
This 230-nucleotide non-coding RNA is filed under the name Clostridia bacterium. Its description in RNAcentral is "6S RNA". It matches the Rfam family "6S / SsrS RNA". Rfam says of the family: E. coli 6S RNA was the first non coding RNA to be sequenced, but its function was unknown until recently. It consists of 184 nucleotides that fold into an extended hairpin structure with a large single-stranded internal bulge. The 6S RNA specifically associates with RNA polymerase holoenzyme containing the sigma70 specificity factor. The record is from RNAcentral. Lineage: Bacteria; Bacillati; Bacillota; Clostridia.